AUGCGGCUGAUCAAACUUCACUCCGCUAUCUCAUAUCAGCCAUCUGCUUGCAAUCAUCGGAUUUUUCUGCCUGAUGUGGAUAUGUCUAUUGAAGCCAUCUAUCCUGAGCCUGCCAAGGAACCUCUAAGUCUUCAGAAUGCAGAGCAUCAGAGUUUUUCUCAGAACAUUGAAAGAGUUGAAGCAGUCGCUCGUGUGUAUCCUUUGGCUGGCACUACACGUGCACCGCAUCCUGCUCUCACUGAAGCCACUGACAGUACAACUACUCCACGAACCAAGAAACACACUCAUGUUCUCAAUGACCGAGAGCUUCUUGUGGCUCUUCAUCAGAAACAUGAUAGGCAUCAUGACUGGCUGAAGCAUCAAAUGCAAAGCCUCUUGGUGGAUGUUAAUCGCAUUCGCAAUCUUGCCACCAAGAAUGCUUUUGUUGCCCAUGAAACCUCUCGCCACACAUGGAAAGGGCUAACGCUGAUGUGUUCUGAAGAUGAUCUUCAAGAGGAUGGCUUCACUGAGCGAUUCAAGUUUGACUCCACACCUCCUCGAAGGGCAGUGCUGCGACGAACUCCAUCCCUUGAAGACUCUGAGUUCUCUUCCUCUGCUGCAACUGUGACUGCCAGAGUGAUCGAGGAUGAAGACGAUGCUACUUCACUGCCACCUCCUUCAGCAUGCUUCGACUCUGCUCCAAGCUCUUCAGCACCGCCAAACACCACCAACAACCCUUCUGCUUCACCUACUUCUCAUGGGAACGAGUAG
Molecule: ribosomal RNA, 750 nt
Filed under: Triticum aestivum (bread wheat)
Lineage: Eukaryota; Viridiplantae; Streptophyta; Magnoliopsida; Poales; Poaceae
Description: partial small subunit ribosomal RNA
Source: RNAcentral